GAUGAACGCUGGCGGCGUGCCUAAUACAUGCAAGUCGAGCGAACAGAUGAGGAGCUUGCUCCUCUGACGUUAGCGGCGGACGGGUGAGUAACACGUGGAUAACCUACCUAUAAGACUGGGAUAACUUCGGGAAACCGGAGCUAAUACCGGAGAAUAUAUUGAACCGCAUGGUUCAAUAGUGAAAGACGGUUUUGCUGUCACUUAUAGAUGGAUCCGCGCCGCAUUAGCUAGUUGGUAAGGUAACGGCUUACCAAGGCAACGAUGCGUAGCCGACCUGAGAGGGUGAUCGGCCACACUGGAACUGAGACACGGUCCAGACUCCUACGGGAGGCAGCAGUAGGGAAUCUUCCGCAAUGGGCGAAAGCCUGACGGAGCAACGCCGCGUGAGUGAUGAAGGUCUUCGGAUCGUAAAACUCUGUUAUUAGGGAAGAACAAAUGUGUAAGUAACUAUGCACGUCUUGACGGUACCUAAUCAGAAAGCCACGGCUAACUACGUG
Molecule: ribosomal RNA, 497 nt
Filed under: uncultured bacterium
Lineage: Bacteria
Description: partial 16S ribosomal RNA
Rfam family: Bacterial small subunit ribosomal RNA
Source: RNAcentral